RNAcentral lists this long non-coding RNA (318 nucleotides) under Mytilus galloprovincialis (Mediterranean mussel). The record is from RNAcentral. Lineage: Eukaryota; Metazoa; Mollusca; Bivalvia; Mytilida; Mytilidae.
UGCUCUUAAUGGUAAAAUUCAAGUCAACUGAUUGAUAGUAAAACAUUAUAAAUCUUUGUUUAACAAUGUUUGAAUCACAGAUGACCCCGGGUAUACUGAGGAUUCAUUGAUUUUCGUGGGUCUCAAAUUCCAUGGUUUACUGAAAACUUUCGUGGAUAUUUGUUUUCGUGGUUUUGCCAAUCACUGUAUACAGAGCAAAUAUGUUUUCGUUGAAUAUUUGAAUUCGUGCUUCCCUUCUUCCAACGAAACCCACGAAAAUUGGUAACCAAUGAAAAAUAAUGAAUCCACACUAUACCGUUGUCAUUGCAACACUUCGUC